This 88-nucleotide transfer RNA is filed under the name bacterium. RNAcentral describes it as "tRNA-Ser". It matches the Rfam family "tRNA". Rfam says of the family: Transfer RNA (tRNA) molecules are approximately 80 nucleotides in length. Their secondary structure includes four short double-helical elements and three loops (D, anti-codon, and T loops). The record is from RNAcentral. RNAcentral also lists the same sequence under 2 other names.
GGAGAGGUUGCCGAGUGGCUUAAGGCGCACGCCUGCUAAGCGUGUGUGGGGAAACUCACCGAGGGUUCGAAUCCCUCCCUCUCCGCCA